CCUGGCCAUUUCCCUCCUGCUCUGGUCUUCAUUUGGAAGUCCCGGGGAUGUGAGUAGAAGGCAAGAGCCAAGCAUCAAAGGGCCUUGUACUCAGCCAACAGAGCAUCCUGCCUUUGUCCAAUCCAGCCCAGUGCAUCAGUCCCUGCAAACAACAGAAGAUGUGGCCCUGCGCCGCCUGUCCCUGACCCUGCCAGAGCACCACGGGCGGCUGAGGCCUCUCCGACUGAAACUGAGCUAGGAGAGCAGCAGACAGGAUUGCUUGCUCAGGGGAAGCUACGCCAUGCUGUGAGGUCACUCAAGAAACCCUGUGGUAAGGCCCAUGUGGACAGGAACUGAGGCCUCCCUCCAACACCC
RNAcentral lists this long non-coding RNA (354 nucleotides) under Equus caballus (horse). Its description in RNAcentral is "lncRNA (ENSECAG00000057571.1)". The record is from RNAcentral. Lineage: Eukaryota; Metazoa; Chordata; Mammalia; Perissodactyla; Equidae.